AGUGCUGGUAUGAUCGCAUC
This 20-nucleotide small nuclear RNA is filed under the name Arabidopsis thaliana (thale cress). RNAcentral describes it as "snRNA_16940". Lineage: Eukaryota; Viridiplantae; Streptophyta; Magnoliopsida; Brassicales; Brassicaceae. The record is from RNAcentral.